UGUUUAAAUUUUUGAUCCAUUUUUACUAUUAAAAACUAGAGUGGCUGACAGAAUAACCAGACAAUUACACAUGGUGUGUCACAUGUACCUCAUUUCGAUGUACAAGGAUCAAUUUUUAAUAGUGGAAAUCGAUGAAAUUUUUAACA
This is a non-coding RNA of Gossypium hirsutum (cotton), 146 nucleotides long. The record is from Rfam. NCBI's taxonomy places the organism in Eukaryota, Viridiplantae, Streptophyta, Magnoliopsida, Malvales, Malvaceae.